UCCGGUUUGUCACCGGCAGUCUCAUUAGAGUGCCCUUUCGUAGCAACUAAUGACAAGGGUUGCGCUCGUUGCGGGACUUAACCCAACAUCUCACGACACGAGCUGACGACAGCCAUGCAGCACCUGUGUACUGGUUCUCUUUCGAGCACUCCCCAAUCUCUCAGGGAUUCCAGCCAUGUCAAGGGUAGGUAAGGUUUUUCGCGUUGCAUCGAAUUAAUCCACAUCAUCCACCGCUUGUGCGGGUCCCCGUCAAUUCCUUUGAGUUUUAAUCUUGCGACCGUACUCCCCAGGCGGUCUACUUCACGCGUUAGCUGCGUUACCAAGUCAAUUAAGACCCGACAACUAGUAGACAUCGUUUAGGGCGUGGACUAC
RNAcentral lists this unclassified non-coding RNA (372 nucleotides) under uncultured Gammaproteobacteria bacterium. RNAcentral describes it as "contains 16S-23S intergenic spacer region". Lineage: Bacteria; Pseudomonadati; Pseudomonadota; Gammaproteobacteria. The record is from RNAcentral.